Molecule: long non-coding RNA, 1014 nt
Filed under: Phasianus colchicus (ring-necked pheasant)
Lineage: Eukaryota; Metazoa; Chordata; Aves; Galliformes; Phasianidae
Description: lncRNA (ENSPCLG00000010299.1)
Source: RNAcentral
GUUAGUUUGCUGCUCUAGGAUGCAGCAUUGAGUUAAUAUCCUUAAUUAAUAGAUUUAAUUAGAAGCUUUAAUAUUCUAAGAUAACCAGCUACAUCUCCAUGUAAAUGAGUGUCACACCACCUAAAUUGUAGAACACACUGAUUUGAGAACGAUUCUGGCUUUGUCAAAGGAUUUGAUUUCCUUAAUGGUGAUGACCCGUGAAGUGGCUGUGUGGGGGCUGUGUUUGCAGAGCUGCCCAGUGUGGGCUUCCAUUGCUGUUCUGCACUCUUUGUAGGAAGCACUGCUCCCAGAAGUCAGCUGUGUGCGUGCCUUAGGAGCGCACCGAGCUCCUCUGGGGCACCUGGGAUGUCUGUGGUUGGAUGAGAUGUUCGAAUUUUGUGGGGGAAAGAAAACUUUCGCAGUUGCUCUCACCUGUUUUUCCAGAACCUUGAGAGCAGUGCAUCUCUCUGAGGAAGAGCCCUGGCUCAAUACCUGCGUUAAGGGGUAGCAGCACAUCGAUGGAACAGAGCUCUGCAGUCUAACACAGGAGCGGUGCGGUGGGAGCUGCCCUGAGCUGAAGCUGGGCCUCGUGCUUCUAUCAUCGACUGCAGGCAAGUGAGCAGGCGCGUUGCCGUGCUCUGGGUUCCAUCACACUGUGAGGUGAAGCAGCUUUGUGCAGCCCUGGUGCAGCAGCCCUGCAUCACCUCCUGGUAACCAAAGCCCCUGCCUGGCAGAGUGUGUGGAAAGCGUCAGGCCAGGCAAAAACAAUGGAUACGGAAUGAAAGUCAGCUCUUGCUGUUACCCAAAGCUAAUAAUCCUGGGCAACCUGAGUGCUCAGUGUGUGUUGGUCUGUUACUGGAUCCAGCUGGAUGUCACUCUGGAAGGGUGACCUGCACUCCGAGGAGCUCCGCUCAGCCGCUGGACACCACGUGCUCUCAGCAUCACACAGCGGGCCCAGGAUUUAGGCAGCUGUUGUACAUCACUGCCUGAAAUACAGGAAAACAACUGGAAAUAAAACGUUUGAGAAUGUGUUCA